RNAcentral lists this transfer RNA (74 nucleotides) under Bacteroidota bacterium. RNAcentral describes it as "tRNA-Pro". It matches the Rfam family "tRNA". From Rfam's summary of the family: Transfer RNA (tRNA) molecules are approximately 80 nucleotides in length. Lineage: Bacteria; Pseudomonadati; Bacteroidota. The record is from RNAcentral. RNAcentral also lists the same sequence under 4 other names.
CGGGGUGUGGCGCAGUUGGCUAGCGCGCUACGUUCGGGACGUAGAGGCCGGGAGUUCGAGUCUCCCCACCCCGA